UGCCCAGCAACUCCUAUCCCUACCUCCUCGCGGUACUGGUCGGGGUACGAGUAACCUUAGGGAAGAUCGGGUAACCAACCCCCGGUGGGAACUUUGGUCGUAUGCUGACAGGGAAGG
Molecule: non-coding RNA, 117 nt
Organism: Aedes aegypti (yellow fever mosquito)
Lineage: Eukaryota; Metazoa; Arthropoda; Insecta; Diptera; Culicidae
Source: Rfam